Molecule: ribosomal RNA, 274 nt
Filed under: uncultured bacterium
Lineage: Bacteria
Description: partial 16S ribosomal RNA
Rfam family: Bacterial small subunit ribosomal RNA
Source: RNAcentral
AUACGGAGGGUGCAAGCGUUACUCGGAAUCACUGGGCGUAAAGCGCGCGCAGGCGGGCUGAUAAGUUGGAUGUGAAAGCCUACGGCUCAACCGUAGAACUGCAUCCAAAACUGUCAGUCUAGAGUGUGGGAGAGGAAGAUGGAAUUAGUUGUGUAGGGGUAAAAUCCGUAGAGAUAACUAGGAAUACCAAAAGCGAAGGCAAUCUUCUGGAACAGUACUGACGCUGAGGCGCGAAGGCGUGGGGAGCAAACAGGAUUAGAAACCCCAGUAGUCC